UGUCAGUGACUCAGGUGUCUGUACAGUAAGCUGAUGAGCAGUUGUAUCUCACUGUCUCCAGUGUUAAUGUCAAUGGCCUUCAGAAAAAAGUCCAGUGCUUCCUGUUUCCUCCCUUCAGACAAACACUGUUUCCCAGAAUGCACCAGUGAAUCAAACGAUUCCUCUUGAUGUUUGACAUCAUUUGGACUCUGCACUUCAGUGGCUGCACACUGAUGCACAACUUCACUAGAGGCCAGUUGAACGUCAGUGAAGCUCUUUACCAUCACCUUCCUCUUCCUCCUCGCACUCAACCAUGUGUUCACUAGGCUCUGGCUCGUCCUCUGGCUCCUCCCACUCCUCUAAUUUUUCCUCUUUCGUCUCUGGUUCCUCCUCUUCCUCCUCCAUAUCCUGCAGCUGUGACUCUACUCAUGAGCGUCGUGAUGCGAUUGAUGUGUUCAUGCUGCAUCUGCGGUUGGUGCCAUUAUUCAGCAUGGAUUUGGGUGUGGAAGAUCUGAGGCCCAUGAAGCUGCGAGCUAAUGGACUGCUAGCCAAAACAGGUUUCUCCACCUCUUCUUCUUCAUGCCCCUCUUCCUCACCAUCAUAGAUGACUCGCAGUUUUUUCUUCUUGGUGGGGCAGAGCAAGGACUCGUCUGCUGCAGUGAAAUAUACUGAUUUCUGCCUACCACUAUCAUUGUUGGGUGUGGGGUCAGAUUCAUCUAUAGCUCCAAUGGCAGAGGUUUAGAUGCAUCAGCAUCAAACUCGAUGCAGGCUUUUGAAUCAAAGUCCACCUCUGAUAAUGCUUUUGGUAUGUUUGACUCAAUUCCCAACAGAACUACAGAUGAAUCUGAUUGCAUGAAAGGAGAAAUGUGCAAGGUCUGAUUUGAGUGAGUGUGUAUGAUCGGAUUUCUCCUCUAUGAUUAAACGCUCCUCAUCAUUUAUGCUCUUAAACACUUGUCCAAAAUAACUGUCCUGUCACCUGUGUAGAUAAAUCCAUCACAUGCUCAUCCUUCACCUCCAUCCCUCCAUCCAUGCUCAUCGUCUCCAGCUCGUCCGAUCCUGAUUGGGUGAGAUCCACCACGGCAGGUGGGCUGAGGUUAUGGCAGGGUGGCGUGGUUUUGACAUCAUCCAUCGUCGUGUGUUGGUCUGGGCCCUGUUGCCAUGACAGCGGGAGCCAACUGGGUCCUGAGUUCUGAUUAACGCUGUCCAUCAUGAGGCUGUGCAGCUGUGACUCGGCCUGGACCAGGUCCUGCGCUUUCUGCACACGCUGGUCACUGUAAAUACAACACAUACAAAUACAACAGCACGGCACACUCCCGACUUCAAAAAAGAAAUUGCAAGCAUUCUAGCAAAAACUUUCAAAAACAAUUCCUCUAUUGAGAACUGCCCUCCUGCUUUCUGGACUUUUCUUACUCAGCAAGAAAAAGAAAAGAGAAACUUCGGCUCCGGUACAACCGACCUUUUACUACGCAUAGAACAUCUCUAUUUGAGGAAGAGUAAGAAAACAUAUAGUUAAAAGUAAAAAUACUAAAGUGUACCGUAACCCUAAAGCUGAUUGUUUGGUGGGGAGGUGUGUCUGAUUUGCUUAUUCGGAAACAAUCUGAGACGCUGUGACAUUUAUUUCUUCUGGUUUAGUCAAAUUCAGAUUAAUGUUGUUUACAACACAGACAGCAGAAAAUCCAGGUGGAGGAGUUUCAGUUUCUGACACUGUGGUCUCAAUAUCUUUAGAACGAGGAACUGAACUCUCCAUACCUCCUGAACCACACCCUGAUCACAAGCACUUGGUGCUAAUGGGCUAGGGGUUAAGCUUUUGGAAUUAAGGGGCUAGGGGUAGAGAAUGAGUUAGGCAGUAGGAAAUUACCUCUGUUACACUGUUGGUAGACUUGAAAUGUGGAGUUUGUGGAAUAUCAGUAAGACUGUAAUAUCCAGAAUGCACUGCAUGAGAUGAGAGUGAGGAGGGUACAGGAUUCUCUGCAGUGCCAGUGUACACCUCAGAGCUCUGGACUCGAAACUUUACAUUCUGAAACCCUGCAAGACAGAAUUGUGUCCAUAGCACAUUAUCAGUCUUACCCUGUGUGUGUCUGUCUGUCUGUCUGUCUGUGUGGUCACUUCUUCCAUAAGGCAUGUGUUGAGCCAUGGCUGAUGGAUCACAGGACCUGCCCGAUGUACGUGUGACAUCCUCAAAUCCCUCAGAGUAGAGGUGAGGUGUGUGCGUAAAUGGAUUCAUGAGAGUUUCUCAUCUCUCUAGAGACGGAUGUUGAGGAGCAGCACAUGUAGACGGUCACUUCUGCUUUGCAUUCGUUUCCCAGCAGCACUGAGUACUUUCACACACACUGUGACUCAGUCUCCAGCAUACACCCCAACUCCGAGUCUCUCACACAGCGAUGCUGCCUUUUCUGGAUAUGAAUCUCUGCAUACAACAGAGCAGCUGGGUCCUGCUGACCACACACAUGAAGGUUUGGAGGCAGUGUGUUUGAAGUGCCACUGCACUACGAUAAGCCCGCCUUUGAGAGUGAAACUCGCAGCUAGGAGACCAGCAAAACACACUGUGACUGUAAACACACACACACGCACAUGCGUACAUGUUCACAUACACUAUACAUACAUUUACAGUCACAGGUUUGGAUUUAAAAAUGCAUUUUAUUUAAUUUCUGUGUGUGAGUUAUUUAAUGACCUCAUGCUGUGGUUAAUGGGAGGAAAAUCUCUCUUCUCUUUUAUCUCUGGGGUGUGUGUACUGGAGAAACACACAGUUCACCAGCUCCCUCUGCUGGACAUGUGUUGCAUUACCUCUCUCUUUCUCGCACACACAGUCCGUAUAUACUGAAUUUGCCAUGUGACAGGUGUUCCUGGUUCAGUAUGGGUGGAGCUUAUGUGAAUUUUUUUUCAACUUAAUCAUGUGACAUCCGUUAGCUUUUCUUUCCACUUGUUCAGCUUGAUCAUCUAUUUAAUGCUGUAUAGCGACUGCUGGGUAGGUAACGUUAAUGUUCGCUAUGUUAACUAGUGCUGUGGGUAGGUGACGGGCUAGCACAGCUGAUAUUACUAAACUAUUAUACUGUUUAAUUAUAGGCAGGCUUUUAUGCCCACAAAUACUAAAGAAAUAAAAACAGAAGCUAGUGGUAAUGUUAUACAGUUCAGAUUAUACUUAAGCUCCGCCCUCACUUACUCAGACAUGCCUGUCAAUUGGCACAAAAAGCUUGCUAUUUAAAAAAAAAAAACAAAAAAAAAACUUAAAAUUAUUCUAAUUUUACAAAAUAUCAAAAUGUGUCCUUUUAUGUGUGUGUGCUUCACAAUGUGGCCUUAUUGGUAUCUUCUGUACUCUAUGAACUACUGAUCUGAGCUGUUAAAUAAGAGGUGUAAUUUUAAUCAAAUUAUAGUGAUAUGAAAAUGUAAACUGUAAAUAAAGUCUCUUUUUAUCAUGAAUGUGUGUGUCCACUUGAUCCCUUGGCAUGAGCGGGGAUAUUUAUCUAGAGUAUCAGUUACUAUACGAAGUCUGUAGUAACAGCAUUUCUCUGAAGAUGAUUUAAUGGAACUUGUGUUUAGAGUGUAACUUGUACUUUAGUUUUCUUCAUUUUCCCAAAAUUUAACACCAGAUACUUCACAGUACACGAAUACCACAUGGAGAUACAAACUUUAUAGUUGACGUGAGGGUAACACUGUUUACACAAGGGUAACAGGCUUGACACUGAGGUAACACUGUUUACACAAGGGUAAUAGGGUUGACACUGAGGUAACACUGGUUACACAAGGGUAACAGGCUUGACACUGAGGUAACACUGGUUACACAAGGGUAACAGGCUUGACACUGAGGUAACAGGGUUUACGACCUUUAAGUGUAGAGAUCUGAUUAAUUUUAUGUACAUAUGCGUGUUCAUGAAUAAAAAAACGUACUGUCAUGUCUGCUCAACUUUUUUUUGAUGAGGGAUAUGCAAAUUGAAUUUAAAUUCACUAGUCUUACUUAAAUUUCCUAUAUUAACUUGUAGAUUUUAAUUAUAAAUAUAUUUUCUAAUUAUUAUAGUCUCUAUUGUAUCACUGGAACAAUGGCCCAUAUACACUCAGCUAAUCACGUGACAGCAGCACUGUACAUGAAAUCAUGCAGCUACAGGUCAAUAGCUUUAUUAAUGUUCACAUCAAACAUGUAUUAUUGUGUAUGGGGAGGACCGGGUGGGUGUGAGACCCAGUUUCUGUCCCAAUUUCUGUCCCAGUCUGGCCCGGCUCCUUCAGGAACUACUUUAUCUGAUGUGUAUAUCAGCUGCUUAUUUCUUCUUGGCCUUUACACACAGUAAAGGUUUACUGUGCUGCAGUUCUACAUGUCUUUAUUCUUUUGACCAUUAGGGGGUCUCCAAUGUAAACCCUUGAGAAAUUAAACAUUUUCAACACAUCUGUAAUAAAGCUGCAACUUUUGGGGUUUUGAGGGGUUUUUUUUUUUUUGGAGAGUUUUUUCAGGUUUGGAGGGUUUGAGGGGUUUUUGGACUGUUUUGGCGGGUUUUUUGGGUUUUGAGUUUUUUAGCAUUUCGGAGGGUUUCAGAGGUUUUCUGAGUUUUUUUUUAAUUAUUUUUUAUGGUUUUGGAGGGCAUUGGAGUGUGAUGAUGAUGGUGACAAUGUUGACGAUGUUGAUGACGACGAUGAUGUUGACGAUGAUGAUCAUGAUGACGAUGAUGGUGACGAUGAUGAUGAUGACGAUAGAUGAUGACUAUGACCAUGAUGAUGACAAUGUUGAUGACGUGAUUAUUAUGAUGAUGACGAUGAAGAUGAUGAUGACGGCGACGAUGAUGAUAACGAUGGUGAUGAUGAUGACAAUGACGAUGAUAUGACGGCGAUGAUGGUGACGAUGAUGAUGAUGAUGAUUACGAUGAUGGUGACGACGAAGAUGACGAUGAUGGUGAUUAUGAUUACGAUGAUGAGAACGAUGACGAUUAUGAUGACGAUUAUGAUUAUGAUGACGGUGACUAUGGUGAUGACGGCAAUGAGGGUGACAAUGAUGGCAAUGAUGACAAUGACGACGAUGAUGACGAUUAUGAGGACGAUGAUGAUGAUGAUGGUGAUAAUGGUGGUGAUGAUGGUGAUGAUGAUCUGAAGUCUUUAUUUUCUCCUACAGCGUGUAUGAAGCAGUGCUGCACGGAGCAGAUGACGGAAUGUCUGGACUGGAUUAUGGCUGAAUCCAUGCUGAGGGAGGUGUUGACUAAAUUAGAGAUGGUGCUGGACCAACAAACCACUGAGCUUGCUUCAACUACAGGUGUUCCAGGUGCAGUCUUUGGAUACUGAUGAAGAUUUACUGCCCUGCAAGAUCUUCCUCAACUGCAUAGUCUGGAGCAAAGGAUGCAACAGAGCCCAGAUUGCAAGCAAAAACUGGGCAGAUGUGCUUGACUGCACCUGGCGCAUAUUGAAGAGGGUGAUUGCUAACUCCCUGGCAAAGAACCUCAAUUGGAGGGGAGUCAAUGGAAAGACUUCACUGGCCACUCUCCAACUCGGAGAGGUCGUGAUUGAAACCUCUUCACGGCUAAAGCUGCAGAGAUGGAGGUCGAGGGGACCAUGAAGAGGUGGCUCCAGCUGGCAUCAGAUCGAGAGUGCAGGCGCAAGAGAAGACUUUUGAAAACUUUUGCAAAAAGAAGCCCUUUCCAGUAGCGGUUAUAUGAUGUUCCGAUCCAUCUUUUCACACUGAGGACAACCGAGGGACUCGUACACGACUAUUCCAAAAGGUGCAAACAUUCACUGAUGCUCAAGAAGGUAACAGCAUGCAUUAAGAGCCUGG
Ictalurus furcatus (blue catfish) is the source of this 5725-nucleotide long non-coding RNA. RefSeq lists it as uncharacterized. The transcript has 6 exons. Lineage: Eukaryota; Metazoa; Chordata; Actinopteri; Siluriformes; Ictaluridae. The record is from RefSeq and is a predicted model, not a curated record.